UGGGAAUAUUGGACAAUGGGCGCAAGCCUGAUCCAGCCAUGCCACGUGAGUGAUGAAGGCCCUAGGGUUGUAAAGCUCUUUCAACGGUGAAGAUAAUGACGGUAACCGUAGAAGAAGCCCCGGCUAACUUCGUGCCAGCAGCCGCGGUAAUACGAAGGGGGCUAGCGUUGUUCGGAAUUACUGGGCGUAAAGCGCACGUAGGCGGAUCGAUCAGUUAGGGGUGAAAUCCCGGGGCUCAACCCCGGAACUGCCUCUAAUACUGUCGAUCUCGAGUUCGAGAGAGGUGAGUGGAAUUCCGAGUGUAGAGGUGAAAUUCGUAGAUAUUCGGAGGAACACCAGUGGCGAAGGCGGCUCACUGGCUCGAUACUGACGCUGAGGUGCGAAAGCGUGGGGAGCAAACA
This 401-nucleotide ribosomal RNA is filed under the name uncultured bacterium. Its description in RNAcentral is "bacterial SSU rRNA". It matches the Rfam family "Bacterial small subunit ribosomal RNA", at positions 356 to 774 of the family's 1533-position model. The record is from RNAcentral.